This is a non-coding RNA of Lupinus albus (white lupine), 694 nucleotides long. The record is from the annotation of a GenBank genome assembly. Lineage: Eukaryota; Viridiplantae; Streptophyta; Magnoliopsida; Fabales; Fabaceae.
GAUAAUGCAUAUAUAUUACAAUUUUAAUUAAAACCUUAUAGUAUCUUGCCCACCUAACUAUUUAUCACAUUAUAUCCCCUUUUCAUUUAAAUACUAGGUCAGGUUUGGGUACCAUAUUGGAGAUUAUUUGAAUUGAAGAAGAUGAGGAGGAAAGGCAAAUUGCAGGUUUGUGCGUGAAUCUAAUUCAUGAAAGAGAUUGUGAAGGACUUUCAUUUUCUUUUCUAUUCCAUUUCCGUAUUAGAUUCACGCACAAAUUUGUCAUUUUCCUUUACUUUUAUUUGCAUUCGUAUUCCAUUUCCCUGAUUCAGAUUUCUCUCUCUGUCGUGGAAAUAGAGAAACCCCGUUUUCAUAACAUCUUGUUACAUAUGCUAAAUCAAAUUCAUACCCUGAAGACAUGAUGGCAAUGAAAUUCAUACACUUACAUAGCUCAGAGGACCAGAGAUCUAACAAUUGGGCCAAGUGAAAAACAACUCGACCAAAAAUAACCUUUUAACACAUUAGGUUUAUUAGUGUCACUUAUAUGCACUGGACCUGAUAAAGGUUUGAAACAGCAAAAGUGGAGUCUAGGUGAAAAAUAUACAUGUGAAUGCACUUUGUACUUUAUUUGUGAGUGGAGUGGAGUGGACGUGACGAAUCUCCAUGUGAUGGUGAUCGAGUUUUUCUAAUUUAUUUGAUAAAAAAAUAAGUAAAUUUC